CCUGGCUCACUCUUAGGGCUGGCGGCGCGCCUAACACAUGCAAGUCGAACGAUUGAUGAGGAGCUUGCUCUUCAAAUCGAGUGGCGAACGGGUGAGUAACGCGUGAGGAACCUGCCUCAAAGAGGGGGACAACAGUUGGAAACGACUGCUAAUACCGCAUAAGCCCACGGCUCGGCAUCGAGCAGAGGGAAAAGGAGCAAUCCGCUUUGAGAUGGCCUCGCGUCCGAUUAGCUAGUUGGUGAGGUAACGGCCCACCAAGGCGACGAUCGGUAGCCGGACUGAGAGGUUGAACGGCCACAUUGGGACUGAGACACGGCCCAGACUCCUACGGGAGGCAGCAGUGGGGAAUAUUGCACAAUGGGGGAAACCCUGAUGCAGCGACGCCGCGUGGAGGAAGAAGGUCUUCGGAUUGUAAACUCCUGUUGUUGAGGAAGAUAAUGACGGUACUCAACAAGGAAGUGACGGCUAACUACGUGCCAGCAGCCGCGGUAAAACGUAGGUCACAAGCGUUGUCCGGAAUUACUGGGUGUAAAGGGAGCGCAGGCGGGAGAACAAGUUGGAAGUGAAAUCCAUGGGCUCAACCCAUGAACUGCUUUCAAAACUGUUUUUCUUGAGUAGUGCAGAGGUAGGCGGAAUUCCCGGUGUAGCGGUGGAAUGCGUAGAUAUCGGGAGGAACACCAGUGGCGAAGGCGGCCUACUGGGCACCAACUGACGCUGAGGCUCGAAAGUGUGGGUAGCAAACAGGAUUAGAUACCCUGGUAGUCCACACCGUAAACGAUGAUUACUAGGUGUUGGAGGAUUGACCCCUUCAGUGCCGCAGUUAACACAAUAAGUAAUCCACCUGGGGAGUACGACCGCAAGGUUGAAACUCAAAGGAAUUGACGGGGGCCCGCACAAGCAGUGGAGUAUGUGGUUUAAUUCGACGCAACGCGAAGAACCUUACCAAGUCUUGACAUCCCUUGACGAUGCUGGAAACAGUAUUUCUCUUCGGAGCAAGGAGACAGGUGGUGCAUGGUUGUCGUCAGCUCGUGUCGUGAGAUGUUGGGUUAAGUCCCGCAACGAGCGCAACCCUUAUGGUCAGUUACUACGCAAGAGGACUCUGGCCAGACUGCCGUUGACAAAACGGAGGAAGGUGGGGAUGACGUCAAAUCAUCAUGCCCUUUAUGACUUGGGCUACACACGUACUACAAUGGCGUUAAACAAAGAGAAGCAAGACCGCGAGGUGGAGCAAAACUCAGAAACAACGUCCCAGUUCGGACUGCAGGCUGCAACUCGCCUGCACGAAGUCGGAAUUGCUAGUAAUCGUGGAUCAGCAUGCCACGGUGAAUACGUUCCCGGGCCUUGUACACACCGCCCG
Molecule: ribosomal RNA, 1357 nt
Filed under: uncultured bacterium
Lineage: Bacteria
Description: bacterial SSU rRNA
Rfam family: Bacterial small subunit ribosomal RNA
Source: RNAcentral